Molecule: unclassified non-coding RNA, 223 nt
Filed under: plant metagenome
Description: partial contains small subunit ribosomal RNA, internal transcribed spacer 1, and 5.8S ribosomal RNA
Source: RNAcentral
UCUCCGUUGGUGAGCCAGCGGAGGGAUCAUUACAGGACUCGCAAGACUCCUACAACCCUGAACUUAACUAUAAGCACGUUGCUUCGGCGGGUGUCUCGGAGGGGGUUCUCCCUCCCCGAGACGCUAAACCCGCCGGCAGCCUACUAUACUCUGUCUCUUUGCGUUGGCAUCUCGAGUACAAUCAAACAAGUUAAAACUUUCAACAACGGAUCUCUUGGUUCUG